CGGGACGGGUGAGUAACGCGUGGGUAACCUGCCUCAUACAGGGGGAUAACAGUUAGAAAUGACUGCUAAUACCGCAUAAGCGCACAAAACUGCAUGGUUUGGUGUGAAAAACUGAGGUGGUAUGAGAUGGACCCGCGUCUGAUUAGCUAGUUGGAGAGGUAACGGCUCACCAAGGCAACGAUCAGUAGCCGACCUGAGAGGGUGACCGGCCACAUUGGGACUGAGACACGGCCCAAACUCCUACGGGAGGCAGCAG
RNAcentral lists this ribosomal RNA (256 nucleotides) under uncultured bacterium. RNAcentral describes it as "partial 16S ribosomal RNA". It matches the Rfam family "Bacterial small subunit ribosomal RNA", at positions 98 to 354 of the family's 1533-position model. The record is from RNAcentral.